CCUCCUACGGGAGGCAGCAGUGGGGAAUUUUGGACAAUGGGGGCAACCCUGAUCCAGCCAUGCCGCGUGAGUGAAGAAGGCCUUCGGGUUGUAAAGCUCUUUCGGCCGGGAAGAAAUCGUGUGGGCUAAUAUCCUGCAUGGAUGACGGUACCGGACUAAGAAGCACCGGCUAACUACGUGCCAGCAGCCGCGGUAAUACGUAGGGUGCGAGCGUUAAUCGGAAUUACUGGGCGUAAAGCGUGCGCAGGCGGUUUUUUAAGACAGGCGUGAAAUCCCCGGGCUUAACCUGGGAACGGCGCUUGUGACUGGAAGGCUAGAGUACGGCAGAGGGGGGUGGAAUUCCAUGUGUAGCAGUGAAAUGCGUAGAGAUGUGGAGGAACACCGAUGGCGAAGGCAGCCCCCUGGGCCGAUACUGACGCUCAUGCACGAAAGCGUGGGGAGCAAACAGGAUUAGAUACCCUAGUAGUC
RNAcentral lists this ribosomal RNA (468 nucleotides) under uncultured Dechloromonas sp. Its description in RNAcentral is "bacterial SSU rRNA". It matches the Rfam family "Bacterial small subunit ribosomal RNA", at positions 335 to 795 of the family's 1533-position model. Lineage: Bacteria; Pseudomonadati; Pseudomonadota; Betaproteobacteria; Rhodocyclales; Azonexaceae. The record is from RNAcentral.